Molecule: ribosomal RNA, 664 nt
Filed under: uncultured bacterium
Lineage: Bacteria
Description: bacterial SSU rRNA
Rfam family: Bacterial small subunit ribosomal RNA
Source: RNAcentral
GCUGGCGGCGUGCCUAACACAUGCAAGUCGAACGAGAAAGUGGAGCAAUCCAUGAGUAAAGUGGCGACCGGGUGAGUAACACGUGACUAACCUACCUCCGAGUGGGGAAUAACUCCGGGAAACCGGGGCUAAUACCGCAUAACAUCGCAAGAUCAAAGCAGCAAUGCGCUUGGAGAGGGGGUCGCGGCUGAUUAGCUAGUUGGCGGGGUAACGGCCCACCAAGGCGAAGAUCGGUAUCCGGCCUGAGAGGGCGCACGGACACACUGGAACUGAAACACGGUCCAGACUCCUACGGGAGGCAGCAGUGGGGAAUUUUGCGCAAUGGGGGAAACCCUGACGCAGCAACGCCGCGUGGAGGAUGAAGCCCUUUGGGGCGUAAACUCCUUUCGACUCGGACGAUAAUGACGGUACGAGUGGAAGAAGCACCGGCUAACUCUGUGCCAGCAGCCGCGGUAAUACAGAGGGUGCGAGCGUUGUUCGGAAUUAUUGGGCGUAAAGGGCGCGUANGCGGUGCGGUAAGUCACCUGUGAAAUCUCCUGGCUUAACUGGGAGUCUGCAGGCGAAACUACCGUGCUGGAGUGUGGGAAAGGUGCGUGGAAUUCCCGGUGUAGCGGUGAAAUGCGUAAAUAUCGGGAGGAACACCUGUGGCGAAAGCGGCGCACUG